Molecule: ribosomal RNA, 270 nt
Filed under: uncultured prokaryote
Description: partial 16S ribosomal RNA
Rfam family: Bacterial small subunit ribosomal RNA
Source: RNAcentral
UACGUAGGAGGCGAGCGUUAUCCGGAUUCACUGGGCGUAAAGAGAACGUAGGCGGUCUUUCAAGUCGGAUGUAAAAUAUCCCUGGCUUAACUGGGAUGGGCCAUUCGAUACUGUUAGGCUAGAGGACAGCAGGGGGAGGUGGAAUUCCCGGUGUAGUGGUGAAAUGCGUAGAUAUCGGGAGGAACACCAGUGGCUAACGCGGCCUCCUAGGCUGUUUCUGACGCUGAGGUUCGAAGGUGUGGGGAGCGAACAGGAUUAGAUACCCCAGUA